AACGUAGGACACAAGCGUUAUCCGGAGUUACUGGGCGUAAAGGGCGUGUAGGCGGAUCGGUAAGUCUACUCUGAAAGCUCCUGGCUAAACUGGGAGAGGCGAGUGGAGACUGUCGGUCUAGAGUGAGGAAGAGGAAAGUGGAAUUCCGCGUGUAGUGGUGAAAUGCGCAGAUAUCAGGAAGAACACCCGUGGCGAAAGCGGCUCUCUGGGACGGUACUGACGCUGAGACGCGAAAGCGUGGGGAGCGAACAGG
RNAcentral lists this ribosomal RNA (253 nucleotides) under uncultured bacterium. RNAcentral describes it as "partial 16S ribosomal RNA". It matches the Rfam family "Bacterial small subunit ribosomal RNA", at positions 524 to 776 of the family's 1533-position model. The record is from RNAcentral.